Molecule: long non-coding RNA, 1068 nt
Filed under: Olea europaea subsp. europaea
Lineage: Eukaryota; Viridiplantae; Streptophyta; Magnoliopsida; Lamiales; Oleaceae
Source: RNAcentral
UUAUUUUUUAAAUUCUGCCGCCUACUAGUACAAAAAGAUCUGUUCACACGACAUUCCCCUUCUCUACUAAAAGAGAGAGAGAGAAAAAAAAUACAAAAUAUGAACAUCAUUAAGAAGGUGGGAAAAAAAACUAACAAGACUUAAAACUACUUAAAACUAUUCAUAGUCCUUCAUCCAGAGUGGCUUUCUUAUUGAGCGACCACUACGAGUACUACAAGAUUCCAUUUCAACGUCACUAUUAGCGGGUUCAGACUGUGGAGGUGAUAGGAGAGGUGGUGAAUGGGGAGGUGAAGGAGAUACAGAUCGAAAGGGACCAAUAUCAUCUAUCUCAGAAUUGAUAUGCCUUUGCUCCGCCAAAUUUGAAGGAAGUGAAUUGAUAUGUACUCUGUUUCUCCUAUACUGUACUCCUUUACUGUCAAUUACAUUAUACGAUCUGGGUUCGUCACCAAUAGAUUUGAUGACACCCGGAAUCCACAUACCUGAAUCCGUUUUUUUAAACAUAACUUUUUGAUUUAAUGACAAAGGUUGUGCAUUUUUCGUCCGUUGAUCAUAAUACUUCUUUUGACCCUCUCUAUAUCUAUUAAAUUUCUCUUUGUUAUAUUUAUACAUUUUUGGCUUCAAAAGCUUGCUGUGUACCGGAAUCUUACUUCUUAACUGGCGAUUAAAAAGUAACUGAGCUGGAGAAGGACCGAAACUUUUGGGUGUAUUUCUUAGAUUUAGUAAAGCAAUGUAUGGAUCUGUCUUGUCAUAUAGACACUUUUGUAACAUAACUUUGAUGACUUUUACAGCAGACUCAGCCUCACCAUUUGACUGAGGAUACCUGGGACUUGAUGUUAUGUGUUGGAAAUCAUACUCUUUUGAGAAUUCUUUAAAUAUUGAACUCGAAAAUUGAGGACCGUUGUCACUCAUUACAAUGGCUGGAAUGCCAUGUCUAGCAAAUAUGCUUUUAAUAUGAGUAAUGACCUCGGAAGAAGAAGUAUUUUUACACAGGGCAAUUUCAAUGAAUUUGCUGUAAUAGUCAACAAGUAGUACAUAUUGAUUAUUAUUAAAUUCAAACAUGUCCAUGCC